AUCGACCUGAGAUCAGGCAAGGCUACCCGCUGAACUUAAGCAUAUCAAUAAGCGGAGGAAAAGAAACUAACCAGGAUUCCCCUAGUAACGGCGAGUGAACCGGGAAAAGCCCAGCUUGAAAAUCUCUGGCCCUCGGCCAGCGAAUUGUAGUCUAGAGAAGCGUCCUCUGCGGGGCGCCGGCCCCAAGUUCCCUGGAAAGGGACGUCAGAGAGGGUGAGAACCCCGUCGGGCCGGUCGACCUCCGCUCCACGAGGCGCUUUCGAAGAGUCGGGUUGUUUGGGAAUGCAGCCCUAAGCCGGUGGUAAAUCCCAUCUAAGGCUAAAUACCAACGGGAGACCGAUAGCGGACAAGUACAGUGAUGGAAAGAUGAAAAGAACUUUGAAAAGAGAGUUAAAAAGUGCGUGAAAUUGUUGAGGGGGAAGUGCUUGGAGGCUGCGGGUGCGCCCAGGCUGAUGCCCGGCUUUGGCCCGGCUGUAUGCUCUGGGCGCUGGUCAGCGUCGGUUCACCGGGCGGGAGAAAAGCGGCGGUUGCUACGCCGUGGAUGUCGCCUGGUGGUCCGAGGUGCAA
RNAcentral lists this ribosomal RNA (567 nucleotides) under Lunachloris lukesovae. RNAcentral describes it as "eukaryotic LSU rRNA". It matches the Rfam family "Eukaryotic large subunit ribosomal RNA", at positions 1 to 572 of the family's 3401-position model. Lineage: Eukaryota; Viridiplantae; Chlorophyta; Trebouxiophyceae. The record is from RNAcentral.